This 1291-nucleotide long non-coding RNA is filed under the name Chrysolophus pictus (golden pheasant). RNAcentral describes it as "lncRNA (ENSCPIG00010003078.1)". The record is from RNAcentral. Lineage: Eukaryota; Metazoa; Chordata; Aves; Galliformes; Phasianidae.
AGGCUGGUGGAUGCCCCAUCCCCGGAGAUACUCAAAGUCAGGCUAGAUGGGGCUCUGAGCACCUGCUCUAGCUGUAGGUGUCCCUGCUCAUUGCAGGGGGAGUGGACUAGAUGACCUUUAAAGGUCCCUUCCAGCUCAGAUGAUUAUAUGAUUCUAAGCAGAUCACAGCUGAGAUCGCACGCAGGACUGGGCUUUCCAGUGAAGUGAAGAGCUGCACUGUUUCGAGAGCGUGCCACGUUUGUAACACAGAGCACCAAGGGCUGCCCCAAGUGGCUCAGUGUGCUGGAUGUGCCACGGGCCAGCAGAGGAGAGCUGUGCUGCAGGACUCUGCCUGCCUGCAUGUAUCUGUCUCCAGCCUAACGGCAAAAGGAAAAAAUCAGCUUUGUUAAUCCAAAAUUAAAUCUUCAGCUAUGCUUAUUUAAUUCUUUUUAUCAGCUCUUUCUCUCUUGCUAUUCCUUUUUUUUUUUUUUUCUUGCUGAUCACUGCCUUGCUGCAUCUCUGGAAUAGUUUUGUGGUUUGCUGAGAAUGCUGUGUGCUGAAUGCAACCAGGUGAUGCUGAAUGCAACCAGGUGAUGUCACUCAGAUGGUGUAAUACCAGUGUUGCCCAGCACACUUCUCUUUGGGAUUUUACCCCUACUAAAGGUCUGUCUUCCAUGCCCUGACUGCUGUUAAGUGAGGGAAGGUUGAGGCUGGUGGAGCCAAUUCUUUAUGUUGCUGUGAUAUCUGAAUACCACUGAACCCACCAGUUGAAGGCUGGGAAUUUGACAUAAAAUUAAAAUAAAAUAGUUCAGUAUUUUAUACAACGCAGUUCAGAAACUGCAAUAGCCUGUGAGCUUUGCUAAGGAAUGUGGGGUUACAUUUCCAGUAGGUGUGAACAACCUGCACCACUGGGGUGGUUUUGGGGAAGUGCAUGUGCUGUGAUUUUGUAACAAGUUAAUCAGGUGGUGACUCAUAGCCCCGUCCUGGGGUGAGCAGAGAGCAAUCUGUGAGCCCUGCAGGAGUGGGGCUGCCUGGUGGGAGGACCUCGUCCAAAAGAAGAAGGGCUCCUCUGCAUCACUUGUGGCAGUGGGUCAGCCCUGGAGCACCAUCUGCCUUCGCCCGUGAAAACCACAGGAGUUCUUGCAGAACAACUCAUUGUGUUGAUGUGCCUACCUCAAUAUUUGAAGCAAUGAAACACAUCCCCAUUCUGCUAGAGAGCAGAACACGUGAAACAGUAACCCUGGAGAACAGCACUCUGCGUGGCUUCGCAGCAUCUUACAGUGAACCUCAGUUAUGAUAUUCAGAGGGUGAG